GAUGAACGCUAGCGGGAGGCCUAACACAUGCAAGCCGAGCGGUAUUUGUCCUUCGGGACAGAGAGAGCGGCGUACGGGUGCGGAACACGUGUGCAACCUGCCUUUAUCUGGGGGAUAGCCUUUCGAAAGGAAGAUUAAUACCCCAUAAUAUAUCGAAUGGCAUCAUUCGAUAUUGAAAACUCCGGUGGAUAGAGAUGGGCACGCGCAAGAUUAGAUAGUUGGUGAGGUAACGGCUCACCAAGUCAGUGAUCUUUAGGGGGCCUGAGAGAGUGAUCCCCCACACUGGUACUGAGACACGGACCAGACUCCUACGGGAGGCAGCAGUGAGGAAUAUUGGACAAUGGGUGAGAGCCUGAUCCAGCCAUCCCGCGUGAAGGACUAAGGCCCUAUGGGUUGUAAACUUCUUUUAUACUGGGAUAAACCUACUUACGUGUAAGUAGCUGAAGGUACAGUAUGAAUAAGCACCGGCUAACUCCGUG
This 479-nucleotide ribosomal RNA is filed under the name uncultured bacterium. RNAcentral's name for it is "partial 16S ribosomal RNA". It matches the Rfam family "Bacterial small subunit ribosomal RNA", at positions 28 to 507 of the family's 1533-position model. The record is from RNAcentral.